This 498-nucleotide ribosomal RNA is filed under the name uncultured bacterium. RNAcentral's name for it is "partial 16S ribosomal RNA". It matches the Rfam family "Bacterial small subunit ribosomal RNA", at positions 29 to 523 of the family's 1533-position model. The record is from RNAcentral.
AUUGAACGCUGGCGGCAUGCUUUACACAUGCAAGUCGAACGGUAACAGGCCGCAAGGUGCUGACGAGUGGCGAACGGGUGAGUAAUGCAUCGGAACGUGCCCAGUCGUGGGGGAUAACGCAGCGAAAGCUGUGCUAAUACCGCAUACGAUCUAUGGAUGAAAGCGGGGGACCGUAAGGCCUCGCGCGAUUGGAGCGGCCGAUGUCAGAUUAGGUAGUUGGUGGGGUAAAGGCUCACCAAGCCAACGAUCUGUAGCUGGUCUGAGAGGACGACCAGCCACACUGGGACUGAGACACGGCCCAGACUCCUACGGGAGGCAGCAGUGGGGAAUUUUGGACAAUGGGGGCAACCCUGAUCCAGCCAUGCCGCGUGCGGGAAGAAGGCCUUCGGGUUGUAAACCGCUUUUGGCCGGGAAGAAAAGGCGCGGGCUAAUACCCUGUGUUUUUGACGGUACCGGCAGAAUCAGCACCGGCUAACUACGUGCCAGCCGCCGCGGUAA